AUUGAGUUGAUAAGUUUUUCCACUAUAUCUGUGUUGACAUUAAAUCCACAGAUAGUGGUAAGACUUGACCAACUUGUG
Saccoglossus kowalevskii is the source of this 78-nucleotide non-coding RNA. The record is from RefSeq and is marked provisional. NCBI's taxonomy places the organism in Eukaryota, Metazoa, Hemichordata, Enteropneusta, Harrimaniidae.